UGGGGAAUAUUGGGACAAUGGGCGAAAGCCUGAUCCAGCAACGCCGCGUGCGGGACGAAGGCCCUCGGGUCGUAAACCGCUGUCAGGAGGGAGGAACGGUGCGUGGUUAAGAGCUGCGUACUUUGACAGUACCUCCAGAGGAAGCCCCGGCUAACUCCGUGCCAGCAGCCGCGGUAAUACGGAGGGGGGCCGAGCGUUAUUCGGAAUCAUUGGGCGUAAAGGGCGCGUAGGCGGCUCGAUAAGUUCAAGGUGAAAGCCCUCGGCUCAACCGAGGAACUGCCUUGGAUACUGUCGAGCUUGAGUCCGGAAGAGGGUGGUGGAAUUCCCGGUGUAGCGGUGAAAUGCGUAGAUAUUUGGAGGAACACCAGUGGCGAAGGCGGCUCACUGGCUCGAUACUGACGCUGAGGUGCGAAAGUGUGGGGAGCAAA
Molecule: ribosomal RNA, 428 nt
Filed under: uncultured bacterium
Lineage: Bacteria
Description: bacterial SSU rRNA
Rfam family: Bacterial small subunit ribosomal RNA
Source: RNAcentral